Molecule: long non-coding RNA, 1055 nt
Filed under: Phascolarctos cinereus (koala)
Lineage: Eukaryota; Metazoa; Chordata; Mammalia; Diprotodontia; Phascolarctidae
Description: lncRNA (ENSPCIG00000034327.1)
Source: RNAcentral
GCAAAACAAAUUUUCAGGUUCUUCUUAAAAAGCCAGUGACAAAAAACAGGUAGUUUCAUUUGGUGUUGGCACAUUGGAUCUGUCAACAGUGGGGCUCCUCUUCAGCUGCAGGGGCUGCUGGUCAGAAGCCUCUUUAAAAGGUCAGUUUUUUCUUCAUAGCGGCAUUUACAGGCAGCUCUCUGGCUGUCCAGGUAGGGCUUACAGCCUACAUGUAUAACUGCAUCAGAUAAGAGCUCCUUGGUGGAUUCACAAGCUUGCUGUGCUAGCCCCAGUGUUUUCUGUACUUCUCUGCAGAUCUUGGAGAGGCAAUAAUGAAACUGCUCAUCACAGUCAUUCUUGGUGCUGCCACAGGUCUUAUAGCAUCUGUCAUAAUGAUUGCAGCACUUUGUUACUGAAAGGAUGCCGAUGUUAAGAUGAACACCAAACCCUGGAGAGCCACAUCCAUUUGGAGGUGAAGGUUUACUGUACUGGGAUAGUCGGUCCUCGCCACCAGCAGUUUCAGGUAUACAAGGAAGCUUUGGGAUACGACUCUCAUCUGCCAAUCAACAAUAAGGGAGAGAGGGCAGGGAAACAUCCACCAAAAAAGCUUGCAACAGCUUCCAACUCAACAUCUUUUUCAACUGUAAAAGUUAUAUAUAAGACAAUACAGUUGUGGAGCCAACAGAAUAAAACAAAACAGCUCAGAAGCAAGAGGAUGGUCUGUGUAGCCUUGACUUCAGGGAAGGAUCCAGGGGAAUGACUAUUGCUGUAAAUGUGCUGCACUUGCUUGCUGUGUCUAUAGAGGAGAAGCACCAUGUGGGUACUGAGCAAGCCUAUAAGGAAAUGAAAGAGAAGGUCAUGAACAGUCAUACCAAACAUAAAUGCAGCACUUAAUUGAUCAUUAUCUCUUAUUGAAAUUCCUGUGAAAAUAUGUGAACCAUAAUGAUAGCUAGAAAUUGUGUCAUUUUUGGUUGCUUCAGUGACUUCAAUGACCCUGAUGUAGAUCAAUGCAUUGGCGACCCAGAAAAAGAGGAAAUAAUGUAAAAUGUAUUUGGGGGCUCUGACUUUGAUGCUAG